Molecule: long non-coding RNA, 549 nt
Filed under: Sinocyclocheilus grahami
Lineage: Eukaryota; Metazoa; Chordata; Actinopteri; Cypriniformes; Cyprinidae
Description: lncRNA (ENSSGRG00000003225.1)
Source: RNAcentral
CUCCCACCUACAGAUGGCGGCUCCCCACAAACACAACAGCACUUUCAUCAUGGAGUGUAUCGAAUAAAUUUCCACAAUGGCUGUGAAAGAAUUAAUUCCACUUGGCGCUCCACGACGUGACAGUGUAGAUGCCACGCCACAUCCUGUGUCAGGUAGUCUACGUUUUGAACCUUCUGAGAAGACUCCAAAACUCUUGAGCUCACUGCCUAAAUGUAUCCUGCCCACUAAAAACCCUGAGCUGGAACAGAGGGACAAGUCCACUUCAGCUGCACUCAAAGCCUCCAAUAAUAGACCACAUCAGGAUAGUAUUCUGGAUUGCAAAGUUGUUAUGAGAAAACUACAACCAAAUAAUGGCAACAUUAACUCCAGGAAGGAUGGCUCUCUCAAUCCCACGAUUAAAAAGGACACUCUGCGGAGGACCAGUUCUUACAACAGAGACAGAGAAAUUUCUUUUGCUCUCAGUAAGGAGCUGAAUGAAAACUUGAGGGUAAAUGCAGCUAUAAUUUUUUUCUUAAUGCAUUUCCAUCAGUAUUCUAAUGCAGGGACUCC